AUUGGACGCUGGCGGCAGGCCUAACACAUGCAAGUCGAGCGGAUGAAGGGAGCUUGCUCCUGGAUUCAGCGGCGGACGGGUGAGUAAUGCCUAGGAAUCUGCCUGGUAGUGGGGGAUAACGUCCGGAAACGGGCGCUAAUACCGCAUACGUCCUGAGGGAGAAAGUGGGGGAUCUUCGGACCUCACGCUAUCAGAUGAGCCUAGGUCGGAUUAGCUAGUUGGUGGGGUAAAGGCCUGCCAAGGCGACGAUCCGUAACUGGUCUGAGAGGAUGAUCAGUCACACUGGAACUGAGACACGGUCCAGACUCCUACGGGAGGCAGCAGUGGGGAAUAUUGGACGAUGGGCGAAAGCCUGAUCCAGCCAUGCCGCGUGUGUGAAGAAGGUCUUCGGAUUGUAAAGCACUUUAAGUUGGGAGGAAGGGCAGUAAGUUAAUACCUUGCUGUUUUGACGUUACCAACAGAAUAAGCACCGGCUAACUUCGUG
This 484-nucleotide ribosomal RNA is filed under the name uncultured bacterium. RNAcentral's name for it is "partial 16S ribosomal RNA". It matches the Rfam family "Bacterial small subunit ribosomal RNA", at positions 30 to 507 of the family's 1533-position model. The record is from RNAcentral.